Molecule: long non-coding RNA, 1002 nt
Organism: Labeo rohita (rohu)
Lineage: Eukaryota; Metazoa; Chordata; Actinopteri; Cypriniformes; Cyprinidae
Exons: 2
Source: RefSeq, a predicted model, not a curated record
UUUGUAUGAUCUGAAAUGUCUGCAGACUGGUGUGAGCAGUGAGAAAGGAAAAAUCCACAGCAGUAUCCUGGAAAUGGUCCGGUGCCAUGGAUGAGACCGUCCAUCACUCCACCUGCCCUUACUGCCUCAUCUGGGCCAGAUUUUUCUGUGGCCUCUUCAUGUAGUCGAGCAGACAUAGUGAUAGCCAGAUUGUCCCGCACAUGUUCUCCCAGUCUCGCCUCAAGGUUGUGGGGUUUAGUGGUGUGUCUUCAUGGUCUUUCUCAUCCUCUGGCUCAACAACAUCCAUAUUGAGAAGAGUGAGAUUGUGAAGCACAGCACAGCAGAAGAAUUGGCACAGCUGCAUUGAGAUGGCAAUAGGAUGUGGGGUUCACCAACUGUAAAUACAUGAUUGUUAGAUCAAUAAGUUUGAAUAAAGCUGUUUCAUCUGUUGUUGACUUAUGUAUUUAUUAUGAUGCUUUUAUUCCUUCUUUGACUCAUUUAUUCAUGUUUUCUAUUGUUGUCAAUACAUAAAAUAUACAUAUAUAUUUUGUUAACUAAUGCAUUAAUUCAUUGCUGAACUGAAAACUGAUGUAUUCAAAUCAGCUGCAUUUGUGGAGUGCAUAUUCAUGCAUAGCUGUGUCAAAAAAAAGGUUAUAUAAUUAAUUAUUAGUUAGCAUGUAUCUUUAUUAUUGUGUGUAAAUGUUGGGGUGGGCUAGCAAUGCAGUUCAUUAUGGUUUUUAUCUUAAUUUUUAAGUAGUAAUACAUUUUUCAAAUGCGAGAUGUUCCAGCAGCUGCCUGAUGUCUCCUGUGUGCAGACAAUGCAAACGUGGAGGUGUGUUUUAACCGUACUUGGUAGGUCGGGUUGUUGAGUUACUGAUGCUAUGAGGUGUUAGUCCCUCUGUCACUCUUUUCAUUAUUAUUAUUAUUAUUGCUUAUAAUUACAUAUAAGAUUUGAAAAUAUGGUUGUACCUAACAAUGGACAACUGUAAUAACAAAAAGAAAAAAAAAAAAAGAAAACAAACA